UACAGAGGUCCCAAGCGUUGUUCGGAUUCACUGGGCGUAAAGGGUGCGCAGGUGGCUUGGUAAGUUUGAUGUGAAAGCUCAGGGCUCAACCCUGAAAUGGCAUUGAAUACUACCGGGCUUGAGGUUUGGAGGGGGGACUGGAAUUCUCGGUGUAGCAGUGAAAUGCGUAGAUAUCGAGAGGAACACCAGUGGCGAAGGCGAGUCCCUGGACAACACCUGACACUGAGGCACGAAAGCCAGGGGAGCAAACGGG
This 253-nucleotide ribosomal RNA is filed under the name uncultured bacterium. RNAcentral's name for it is "partial 16S ribosomal RNA". It matches the Rfam family "Bacterial small subunit ribosomal RNA", at positions 524 to 776 of the family's 1533-position model. The record is from RNAcentral.